Molecule: non-coding RNA, 86 nt
Filed under: bovine gut metagenome
Also listed under: 1 other name
Description: NiCo riboswitch
Rfam family: NiCo (Nickel/Cobalt) riboswitch aptamer
Source: RNAcentral
ACAGUACAAACUGAGCAGGCCAGGGAUAUCCUGUGAGCCGGGUCACAAUGGUGACAAUGGAUGAUGAUUCAUAUCCAUGGGACAGU